Molecule: ribosomal RNA, 516 nt
Filed under: uncultured Saccharibacter sp.
Lineage: Bacteria; Pseudomonadati; Pseudomonadota; Alphaproteobacteria; Acetobacterales; Acetobacteraceae
Description: bacterial SSU rRNA
Rfam family: Bacterial small subunit ribosomal RNA
Source: RNAcentral
UAAUACGAAGGGACCUAGCGUAGUUCGGAAUUACUGGGCGUAAAGCGCGCGUAGGCCGUUGAGUUAGUUAAUUGUGAAAUCCCAAAGCUUAACUUUGGAACUGCAAUUAAAACUGCUCGACUAGAGUUUGAUAGAGGAAAGCGGAAUACAUAGUGUAGAGGUGAAAUUCGUAGAUAUUAUGUAGAACACCAGUUGCGAAGGCGGCUUUCUGGAUCAACACUGACGCUGAGGCGCGAAAGUAUGGGUAGCAAAGAGGAUUAGAUACCCUCGUAGUCCAUACCAUAAACGAUGAUUGCUAGAUGUUGGAAAUUUAUUUUCAGUAUCGCAGCUAACGCAUUAAGCAAUCCGCCUGGGGAGUACGACCGCAAGGUUAAAACUCAAAUGAAUUGACGGGGACCCGCACAAGCGGUGGAGCAUGUGGUUUAAUUCGAUGAUACGCGAGGAACCUUACCUGGGCUUAAAUGUCGUGCGACAAUUGCUGAAAAGUGAUCUCCCUUCGGGGCGACCGGCAAGGUG